GAUCAUGGCUCAGGAUGAACGCUAGCUACAGGCUUAACACAUGCAAGUCGAGGGGCAGCAUGGGAGUUGCUUGCAAUUCCUGAUGGCGACCGGCGCACGGGUGAGUAACGCGUAUCCAACCUUCCCCUUAGUAGGGCAUAGCCCGGUGAAAAUCGGAUUAAUACCCUAUGUUUUCCAAUGCAGACAUCUAAAAUGGAACAAAGGUUUACCGCUAAGGGAUGGGGAUGCGUCUGAUUAGGUAGUAGGCGGGGUAACGGCCCACCUAGCCUUCGAUCAGUAGGGGUUCUGAGAGGAAGGUCCCCCACAUUGGAACUGAGACACGGUCCAAACUCCUACGGGAGGCAGCAGUGAGGAAUAUUGGUCAAUGGGCGAGAGCCUGAACCAGCCAAGUAGCGUGCAAGGAUGACGGCCCUAUGGGUUGUAAACUGCUUUUAUAUGGGGAUAAAGUUCACCACGUGUGGUGUUUUGCAGGUACCAUAUGAAUAAGGACCGGCUAAUUCCGUGCCAGCAGCAGC
Molecule: ribosomal RNA, 515 nt
Filed under: uncultured bacterium
Lineage: Bacteria
Description: bacterial SSU rRNA
Rfam family: Bacterial small subunit ribosomal RNA
Source: RNAcentral